AUUUAUAUAGUUUAUAUAAGAACCUGCCAUUUUCACUGGUAAAGAGAAGGCACCUUCUAUAAAUA
This 65-nucleotide transfer RNA is filed under the name Aradus compar. RNAcentral describes it as "tRNA-Glu". The record is from RNAcentral. Lineage: Eukaryota; Metazoa; Arthropoda; Insecta; Hemiptera; Aradidae.